GCAUAUCAAUAAGCGGAGGAAAAAGAAACUAACAAGGAUUCCCCCUAGUAACUGCGAGUGAAGCGGGAAAAGCUCAAAUUUAAAAUCUGGUGGCCUUCGGUCAUCCGAGUUGUAGUCUGGAGAAGCGUCUUCCGCGCUGGACCGUGUACAAGUCUCUUGGAACAGAGCGUCGUAGAGGGUGAGAAUCCCGUCUUUGACACGGACUGCCAGUGCUUUGUGAUGCGCUCUCAAAGAGUCGAGUUGUUUGGGAAUGCAGCUCAAAAUGGGUGGUAAAUUCCAUCUAAAGCUAAAUAUUGGCGAGAGACCGAUAGCGAACAAGUACCGUGAGGGAAAGAUGAAAAGCACUUUGGAAAGAGAGUUAAACAGUACGUGAAAUUGCUGAAAGGGAAACGCUUGAAGUCAGUCGCGUCGUUCAGAACUCAACCCGGCCUCGCGCUCGGUGCACUUUCUGUUCGACGGGCCAGCGUCAGUUUUGAUCGUCGGAGAAAGGCCCUCGGAAUGUGGCACCCUCGGGUGUGUUAUAGCCUUGGGUCGUAUACGACGGUUGGGACUGAGGAUCGCAGCACGCCUCACGGCCGGGGUUCGCCCACGCUACGUGCUUAGGAUGCUGGCGUAAUGGCUUUAAACGACCCGUCUUGAAACACGGACCAAGGAGUCUAACAUGCCUGCGAGUGUUUGGGUGGAAAACCCGAGCGCGCAACGAAAGUGAAAGUUGGGAUCUCUGUCGCGGAGAGCACCGACGCCCAUACCAGAGCUUCUGUGACGGAUAUGCGGUAGAGCAUGUAUGUUGGGACCCGAAAGAUGGUGAACUAUGCCUGAAUAGGGUGAAGCCAGAGGAAAACUCUGGUGGAGGCUCGUAGCGAUUCUGACGUGCAAAUCGAUCGUCAAAUUUGGGUAUAGGGGGCGAAAGACUAAUCGAACCAUCUAGUAGCUGGGUUCCUGCCGA
This 946-nucleotide ribosomal RNA is filed under the name Pappia fissilis. Its description in RNAcentral is "LSU rRNA". It matches the Rfam family "Eukaryotic large subunit ribosomal RNA", at positions 38 to 964 of the family's 3401-position model. The record is from RNAcentral. Lineage: Eukaryota; Fungi; Basidiomycota; Agaricomycetes; Polyporales; Meruliaceae.